Maniola jurtina (meadow brown) is the source of this 1211-nucleotide long non-coding RNA. RefSeq lists it as uncharacterized. The record is from RefSeq and is a predicted model, not a curated record. The transcript is spliced from 2 exons. Lineage: Eukaryota; Metazoa; Arthropoda; Insecta; Lepidoptera; Nymphalidae.
UAUUUAAGUAUUUAUUCACAUUAUUUGAAUUGCAAAUUAUAUUAAGACAUAAUUAUUAUAUAAGUCAUUAAUUAUUAUGGGAUUAAAUAUAUUUUAAUGUCAUCUUUAGAUUAAAAUUGGUACAAAAUAAACAUUUCCAUUAGCUAAAGAUGCUCACUGUGUAAGUAUUCAUCAAACUUUCAUAAUAUAAUUUGUUGAAUAAUUACAAGACAAGUUGCAGGUGGAUCCCAGAUAACCUGCAUAUCAUUCAUUAUUUUAUUACAAUAGCAAUUCUUGUGAUUUGCUGAAUUUAAGGCAUUCUUGUUGCAACAAUGCAUUGUAGCCAAUAGUGAGCGAGCGUCAACCAAUCAGAGGUGAUUGCGAUCGUGACAUUAUAGCCGUCAUUCAACCGCAAUUGAGCACUAAAAUCAAAGUGUCCACUUUUUCUGUCUGUGUGUGACUACAGUUUUUUUUUCUUGAUGUAUUUUAGUGUUUUUUGCUUUUUUGUGCGCAUGUGCGCAUUUGUGCACAACAAAUUUUAUGAACUUGAAGGUCACUUUUCAGAGAUAAGGAUGCACGCGCAAAACUAAUUUUAUUAAUUGCGCGUGUGCAAAUAGUGCACUAAAAAAGUAAACGAACACGACUUAAAAUCAAACAAACACGAUUAAUAAGUACUACCACUUUUUAAAGUUACGUCGAUGUACCUGCGCAGAAAUCUUUUUUGAAUGGUGCGAAUAUCUUAGCCAAUCAUAGCGCGCGUCCGUCCGAUAUUGGUUGUUGCCUGCAACAUGCACGUCAUGUUUUGCACGCGCAAAUUAUGAACGAGAUUUACAGAGAAAGCACGAGUAUCUGUUGUUCUCAUCUUAACGUCAAGCAAUAAGGUCUGACAUUCUGUUUUAUAGUUGAGUUUAUAGUUAUAUAUAGUAUAUAGUUAGUAUAGUUGAGUUUAUAGUUCGGUUUUAUAGUAUAAACGUGCAAACUGAAUCAUAAAUCAUUACUAUCAUAGGGUAGUGAGAAUGCUGCAGAAGUCCUCAUCGAUAAAGGUAUGCCGUUCAUACGCAGAUAGCUGGGGCGCGAUUUUGGAUUAUUUAACCUCUCCCUCGUUCUUUAUAAUGACCCGUUAUCGACUAUCGAGUAUCGACAAAUCUUUUUUUAGGUAUUACACACAACACCAGAGCAUCAGGUUCCAGUUCCAUAAGGGAUGUAAGUGCGAGCGAGAGGUCCGAUAAAAA